Molecule: ribosomal RNA, 253 nt
Filed under: uncultured bacterium
Lineage: Bacteria
Description: partial 16S ribosomal RNA
Rfam family: Bacterial small subunit ribosomal RNA
Source: RNAcentral
GACGGGGGAGGCAAGCGUUUUCCGGAAUCACUGGGCGUAAAGCGUCUGUAGGUGGUGAUGCAAGUCACUGGUGCAAAACUCUGGCUCAACCGGAGGAAAGCCAGUGAAACUGCAUGACUAGAGUGUGGGAGAGGUAGAAGGAAUUCCCUGAGUAGCGGUGAAAUGCGUAGAUACAGGGAAGAACACCGGAGGCGAAAGCGUUCUACUGGAACACACCUGACACUGAGAGACGAAAGCUAGGGGAGCGAAUGGG